CAUGCAAGUCGAGCGCCCCGCAAGGGGAGCGGCAGACGGGUGAGUAACGCGUGGGAAACUACCCUUUGGUACGGAAUAACACAGAGAAAUUUGUGCUAAUACCGUAUGUGCCCUUCGGGGGAAAGAUUUAUCGCCAUAGGAUGUGCCCGCGUAGGAUUAGCUAGUUGGUGUGGUAAUGGCGCACCAAGGCGACGAUCCUUAGCUGGUCUGAGAGGAUGACCAGCCACACUGGGACUGAGACACGGCCCAGACUCCUACGGGAGGCAGCAGUGGGGAAUAUUGGACAAUGGGCGCAAGCCUGAUCCAGCCAUGCCGCGUGAGUGAUGAAGGCCUUAGGGUUGUAAAGCUCUUUCACCCACGACGAUAAUGACGGUAGUGGGAGAAG
Molecule: ribosomal RNA, 385 nt
Filed under: uncultured bacterium
Lineage: Bacteria
Description: bacterial SSU rRNA
Rfam family: Bacterial small subunit ribosomal RNA
Source: RNAcentral